Molecule: long non-coding RNA, 278 nt
Organism: Mus musculus (house mouse)
Lineage: Eukaryota; Metazoa; Chordata; Mammalia; Rodentia; Muridae
Product: predicted gene, 53289
Exons: 3
Source: RefSeq, a predicted model, not a curated record
GCAUGUUUGACCAGUGUCCUUACAGCCUGUGUGGAUAUGGUGCCUGAGGUUCUGCCUGCCAUGGCCUCUCCACUGGGAUGGAUUGUACCCUCAAACUAUGAGCCAAAAUAUACCUCUCUGGAGCUGCUUCUUGUCAGUCACAUCGAUGAGAAAAGCCUGAACCUUGUGUGCUGCAAUACCACCUAUCAGGAAACUUAUGUCCAUUAGUGUGACAGUGGCAUGACUGUUUGGGGUAACCAACCAUUUCUGACUGGAUUUGAGGCUUCCAUGGGAGGGAG